This 440-nucleotide ribosomal RNA is filed under the name uncultured bacterium. Its description in RNAcentral is "partial 16S ribosomal RNA". It matches the Rfam family "Bacterial small subunit ribosomal RNA", at positions 338 to 795 of the family's 1533-position model. The record is from RNAcentral.
CCUACGGGAGGCAGCAGUGAGGGAUAUUGGUCAAUGGGGGAAACCCUGAACCAGCAACGCCGCGUGAGGGAAGACGGUUUUCGGAUUGUAAACCUCUGUUCUCUGUGAAGAUAAUGAGGGUAGCAGAGGAGGAAGCUCCGGCUAACUACGUGCCAGCAGCCGCGGGAAUACGUAGGGGGCAAGCGUUGUCCGGAUUUACUGGGGGUAAAGGGUGCGUAGGUGGGCCUGCAAAUCAGAAGUGAAAUCCAUGGGGUUAACCCAUGAUCUGCUGUUGAAACUGUAGGGCUUGAGUGAAGUAGAGGCAGGCGGAAUGCCCGGUGUAGCGGUGAAAUGCGUAGAGAUCGGGAGGAACACCAGUGGCGAAGGCGGCCUGCUGGGCUUUAACUGACGCUGAGGCACGAAAGCGUGGGUAGCAAACAGGAUUAGAUACCCUUGUAGUC